Molecule: unclassified non-coding RNA, 243 nt
Filed under: uncultured fungus
Lineage: Eukaryota; Fungi
Description: sequence contains ITS2
Rfam family: 5.8S ribosomal RNA (bases 1-52)
Source: RNAcentral
AACGCACAUUGCGCCCCCUGGUAUUCCGGGGGGCAUGCCUGUUCGAGCGUCAUUACAACCCUCAAGCAUUGCUUGGUAUUAGGCUCCGCUGCUCACCCGGCGGGCCUUAAAACCAGUGGCGGUGCCGUCGAGGCCCUGAGCGCAGUAAAUAUCCUCGCUAUAGGGACCCGGCGGACGCUGGCCAUCAACCCCCAACUUUCUAAGUUUGACCUCGGAUCAGGUAGGGAUACCCGCUGAACUUAA